Molecule: long non-coding RNA, 1569 nt
Organism: Oreochromis niloticus (Nile tilapia)
Lineage: Eukaryota; Metazoa; Chordata; Actinopteri; Cichliformes; Cichlidae
Source: Ensembl
AUGGCGCUCGCAAAAAAACAGAAAGAGGCCAAAGAAAAACUCCAGCCAUUGAGAGAUUUGCUCUGUGACCCAAAUUCCUCGUUUGAAGACUUGUCUGAGCUGCUUCACAAAUGCAAAUUAACUUAUGAACAAUACUUGGAUUGUGUCUUCAAUUUAAGCAAUGGCCAUGUCAUCCUCUUAAAGCGUGAACCUAAUGACUGCUGGGUGAAUGCAUACAAUGCAGAUCUGCUGAGAGCCUGGAAUGCCAACAUGGACAUCCAAUAUGUCAUUGAUGACUACAGCUGCCUGAUGUACAUGAUGUCUUAUGUCUCUAAACCCGAAUUUGAGAUGACACAAUUUCUUAAUGGAGUCAUCCAGGAGGUCAAAAAGUCCAAUGUCAAUGAAAGAGAUGAAAUGAAACAGAUAAUGCAGGCAUAUGCUAAACACAGAGAAGUCAGUGCCCAAGAAUCCGUGGCAAGGACAUGCAGCCUGCCACUAAAAAAGUGUUCACGCAGUGUGGUGUUCAUACAGACUGAUGAUGAUGCCCUGAAAAUGAGUCUCCCGAUGAGCAGGUUGCAGAGCAUGGCACCAGAUGAUGAAAAUGUGUGGAUGUCUGGAUUGCCAGAAAAAUAUGCAAACAGACCCAGAACACCUGAGUUUGAAAGAAUGUGUUUGGCUGAAUUUGCUUCAGAGUACAGGAUUCUCUAUAGCCAUCAAACAGAGUCAAAAAAUGCCAUCCCUCUUUUGAAUAACAUGGGUUAUAUUCAAAAGAGAACAAGAGGGAAACCUGCAAUAAUCAGAUAUCCUCGGUUCUCAGAAAAGAAACAACCAGAGAAGUUUUAUAGCAGACUACUAAAACUUUAUUUUCCACAUCGAUCAAAUGAUGACCUUAAAAACACAACAUACCCCACAUCCGAACAGUUCUACAAAAGUGGAGGAAAACAUGGUUUUGCUGUGCGGCCAAUUGUUACCUUUAACAAAAAGCGUUAUGAAAGCCAUGGCAAAACAAUGGAAAGGGCCCAGAUUGAACAACAAGGCCCACUUAUCAAUGCAUGGAACACCUUUGCACCUGAGGUUGAAGUAGAUCGUUUAGAGUGUGUGGCCCAACGGCAAUCCAGACAUGACACUGACGAAAAUGAAAUGGACAUUGUUCCAGACUACCAAGUCAGUGGUAGCAGCAGUGGAGCCAUGCCAGCAAUCAUAGCACCAAAGCUGAGCCCAGACUUUGUCAGAAAAAUGUACCAAAGUCUGAAUGAAACCCAAGCAUCCAUAUUCUACGCAGUGCGUGAGUGGUGUUUCAAACUUGUGUGGGGUCACUGUCCUGAGCAGUUCUUUUAUUUUGUCUCUGGAGGAGCUGGCUGUGGAAAAUCACAUGUUAUCAAGUGUAUAUAUGAGGAGGCAACAAAGACUUUGCACCAACUCCCCAGAUUCCGUGACCAAGCAGACAUGUCCUACCCUGCAGUACUGCUGACUGCAUUUACUGGCACUGCAGCUUUUAACAUAUCUGGGAAAACACUGCACUCUCUGCUAAAGCUGCCAAAAUCUUUAAACCGCCGUAUCAGGGACUGGGGAAUGCACUGGAUGAAGUGA